GUUAAGCGACUAAGCGUACACGGUGGAUGCCCUGGCAGUCAGAGGCGAUGAAGGACGUGCUAAUCUGCGAUAAGCGUCGGUGAGGUGAUAUGAACCGUUAUAACCGGCGAUUUCCGAAUGGGGAAACCCAGUGUGUUUCGACACACUAUCAUUAACUGAAUCCAUAGGUUAAUGAGGCGAACCGGGGGAACUGAAACAUCUAAGUACCCCGAGGAAAAGAAAUCAACCGAGAUUCCCCCAGUAGCGGCGAGCGAACGGGGAGGAGCCCAGAGCCUGAAUCAGUGUGUGUGUUAGUGGAAGCGUCUGGAAAGGCGCGCGAUACAGGGUGACAGCCCCGUACACAAAAAUGCACAUAUUGUGAGCUCGAUGAGUAGGGCGGGACACGUGGUAUCCUGUCUGAAUAUGGGGGGACCAUCCUCCAAGGCUAAAUACUCCUGACUGACCGAUAGUGAACCAGUACCGUGAGGGAAAGGCGAAAAGAACCCCGGCGAGGGGAGUGAAAAAGAACCUGAAACCGUGUACGUACAAGCAGUGGGAGCCUCUUUAUGGGGUGACUGCGUACCUUUUGUAUAAUGGGUCAGCGACUUAUAUUCUGUAGCAAGGUUAACCGAAUAGGGGAGCCGAAGGGAAACCGAGUCUUAACUGGGCGUUAAGUUGCAGGGUAUAGACCCGAAACCCGGUGAUCUAGCCAUGGGCAGGUUGAAGGUUGGGUAACACUAACUGGAGGACCGAACCGACUAAUGUUGAAAAAUUAGCGGAUGACUUGUGGCUGGGGGUGAAAGGCCAAUCAAACCGGGAGAUAGCUGGUUCUCCCCGAAAGCUAUUUAGGUAGCGCCUCGUGAAUUCAUCUCCGGGGGUAGAGCACUGUUUCGGCAAGGGGGUCAUCCCGACUUACCAACCCGAUGCAAACUGCGAAUACCGGAGAAUGUUAUCACGGGAGACACACGGCGGGUGCUAACGUCCGUCGUGAAGAGGGAAACAACCCAGACCGCCAGCUAAGGUCCCAAAGUCAUGGUUAAGUGGGAAACGAUGUGGGAAGGCCCAGACAGCCAGGAUGUUGGCUUAGAAGCAGCCAUCAUUUAAAGAAAGCGUAAUAGCUCACUGGUCGAGUCGGCCUGCGCGGAAGAUGUAACGGGGCUAAACCAUGCACCGAAGCUGCGGCAGCGACACUAUGUGUUGUUGGGUAGGGGAGCGUUCUGUAAGCCUGUGAAGGUGGCCUGUGAGGGUUGCUGGAGGUAUCAGAAGUGCGAAUGCUGACAUAAGUAACGAUAAAGCGGGUGAAAAGCCCGCUCGCCGGAAGACCAAGGGUUCCUGUCCAACGUUAAUCGGGGCAGGGUGAGUCGACCCCUAAGGCGAGGCCGAAAGGCGUAGUCGAUGGGAAACAGGUUAAUAUUCCUGUACUUGGUGUUACUGCGAAGGGGGGACGGAGAAGGCUAUGUUGGCCGGGCGACGGUUGUCCCGGUUUAAGCGUGUAGGCUGGUUUUCCAGGCAAAUCCGGAAAACCAAGGCUGAGGCGUGAUGACGAGGCACUACGGUGCUGAAGCGACAAAUGCCCUGCUUCCAGGAAAAGCCUCUAAGCAUCAGGUAACAUCAAAUCGUACCCCAAACCGACACAGGUGGUCAGGUAGAGAAUACCAAGGCGCUUGAGAGAACUCGGGUGAAGGAACUAGGCAAAAUGGUGCCGUAACUUCGGGAGAAGGCACGCUGAUAUGUAGGUGAAGCGACUUGCUCGUGGAGCUGAAAUCAGUCGAAGAUACCAGCUGGCUGCAACUGUUUAUUAAAAACACAGCACUGUGCAAACACGAAAGUGGACGUAUACGGUGUGACGCCUGCCCGGUGCCGGAAGGUUAAUUGAUGGGGUUAGCGGUAACGCGAAGCUCUUGAUCGAAGCCCCGGUAAACGGCGGCCGUAACUAUAACGGUCCUAAGGUAGCGAAAUUCCUUGUCGGGUAAGUUCCGACCUGCACGAAUGGCGUAAUGAUGGCCAGGCUGUCUCCACCCGAGACUCAGUGAAAUUGAACUCGCUGUGAAGAUGCAGUGUACCCGCGGCAAGACGGAAAGACCCCGUGAACCUUUACUAUAGCUUGACACUGAACAUUGAGCCUUGAUGUGUAGGAUAGGUGGGAGGCUUUGAAGUGUGGACGCCAGUCUGCAUGGAGCCGACCUUGAAAUACCACCCUUUAAUGUUUGAUGUUCUAACGUUGGCCCGUAAUCCGGGUUGCGGACAGUGUCUGGUGGGUAGUUUGACUGGGGCGGUCUCCUCCUAAAGAGUAACGGAGGAGCACGAAGGUUGGCUAAUCCUGGUCGGACAUCAGGAGGUUAGUGCAAUGGCAUAAGCCAGCUUGACUGCGAGCGUGACGGCGCGAGCAGGUGCGAAAGCAGGUCAUAGUGAUCCGGUGGUUCUGAAUGGAAGGGCCAUCGCUCAACGGAUAAAAGGUACUCCGGGGAUAACAGGCUGAUACCGCCCAAGAGUUCAUAUCGACGGCGGUGUUUGGCACCUCGAUGUCGGCUCAUCACAUCCUGGGGCUGAAGUAGGUCCCAAGGGUAUGGCUGUUCGCCAUUUAAAGUGGUACGCGAGCUGGGUUUAGAACGUCGUGAGACAGUUCGGUCCCUAUCUGCCGUGGGCGCUGGAGAACUGAGGGGGGCUGCUCCUAGUACGAGAGGACCGGAGUGGACGCAUCACUGGUGUUCGGGUUGUCAUGCCAAUGGCACUGCCCGGUAGCUAAAUGCGGAAGAGAUAAGUGCUGAAAGCAUCUAAGCACGAAACUUGCCCCGAGAUGAGUUCUCCCUGACUCCUUGAGAGUCCUGAAGGAACGUUGAAGACGACGACGUUGAUAGGCCGGGUGUGUAAGCGCAGCGAUGCGUUGAGCUAACCGGUACUAAUGAACCGUGAGGCUUAACCUUACAACG
This 2909-nucleotide ribosomal RNA is filed under the name Escherichia coli. RNAcentral describes it as "partial 23S ribosomal RNA". It matches the Rfam family "Bacterial large subunit ribosomal RNA". The record is from RNAcentral. Lineage: Bacteria; Pseudomonadati; Pseudomonadota; Gammaproteobacteria; Enterobacterales; Enterobacteriaceae.